Molecule: long non-coding RNA, 999 nt
Organism: Sapajus apella (tufted capuchin)
Lineage: Eukaryota; Metazoa; Chordata; Mammalia; Primates; Cebidae
Exons: 3
Source: RefSeq, a predicted model, not a curated record
AUUUAGGAAGUUAGUUUAGGCAACUGUUGCAAUAGUUGAGGAGAAACAUGAUGGCAGCUUGGACAAGAAGGUAGCAGUGGAGGUGGUGAGAGGCAGUUGAUUUCAGAUACAUUUUAGAGGUAGGGCUGAUAUUAUUUGCUGACAGAUGCAAUGUAUGGUGUAAGAAGUGACAGGUCAAGGACUCCAAAUGUAUGAAGGCAAGCAACUGGAAGGAUGACAUUACUGUUAACCAUUAACUAAAAUGAGAAGACUGUAAGUGGAGCCAGUUUGGCUGUAGGGAUCUGGAGCUCAGUUGUAAACAUGUGAUGUUUGAGAUGGAUAUCAGAUGGCCAGAAUGUAGCAGGAUGUAUGAGUCUGGAGUUCAGAGGUGACAUUUGUGCUAGCUACACAAAUUUAGAAGCAUCAGCUUUUAGAUGGUUUUAAAGAUCCAUGAGACCAGAUGAGAUCACCUAGGGAGUGAGUACAGAUGGAAAAGAAAAAAGGCUCAUGAACUAAGUCCUGGGACACUCCAAAGUUAAAGAGUUUGGGAGGUGAGGCAGAGCCAGGAUAGGAGGCUGAGAAGCAGCAGCCCGCUGAAUGCAGGAACGCACAAGAUGACGAGGAGAGUGUGUGUCCUGGAAGCUAAGCGAUGAGAAUAUUUCUAGAACCAAAAGUGAUAAAUUCUGUCCAUUGAUGCUAAGCAAUCAGGAAAAACGCAGACUAACAACUGUUGGAGGAAUUAGCAAUUGAUCAUGGGUGACCAGCCAACAGCAGAUAGGGGGCUCCGGUGGCUUCGGUCUCUUUCUCAUCAACCCUCAGCUCAGCCACAUGCACGGCCUGGAAGGGAGAGAAGCAGAGAUGCGUGCUGGGGCCGAGCUGUGCCCCAGCCCAGGCCUGGAGCAAGGCCUGUGUGGACAGUCUCAUCCUAGGAGGAUGAAGAAGGCAGUGGCGUUACCCACGUAGUGCUGUGCCAACACCCAGCUGGAUAACUCCUUGUCCCGGUGGACGUCAAAUCUCCCC